RNAcentral lists this ribosomal RNA (647 nucleotides) under uncultured Microbotryomycetes. RNAcentral's name for it is "eukaryotic LSU rRNA". The stretch from base 228 to 381 matches the Rfam family "5.8S ribosomal RNA". The record is from RNAcentral. Lineage: Eukaryota; Fungi; Basidiomycota; Microbotryomycetes.
CUUGGUCAUUUAGAGGAAGUAAAAGUCGUAACAAGGUUUCCGUAGGUGAACCUGCGGAAGGAUCAUUAGUGAAUUUUAGGGCGUCUACUUGUAGAGCCUGACCCUCCACUUCUAACACUGUGCAUUAUUCGGUCAUUUGGCGACGUACCUUCGGGUGUCGAGCUGUUUGGCUAAUUUUACCAUUAAACAUUAGUACCAGUAUGUAACGAAAUAUCGAAACAAAAAAAAACUUUCAACAACGGAUCUCUUGGCUCUCGCAUCGAUGAAGAACGCAGCGAAAUGUGAUAAGUAAUGUGAAUUGCAGAAUUCAGUGAAUCAUCGAAUCUUUGAACGCACCUUGCGCUCCCUGGUAUUCCGGGGAGCAUGCCUGUUUGAGUGUCAUGAACUCUUCAACCCACCAGUUUCUAGUAGACUGUGUGAUGUUUGGAUCUUGAGCGCUGCUAGUCUGACUAGCUCGUUCGUAAUAUAUUAGCAUCUCUAAUUCGACUUCGGAUUGACUCAGUGUAAUAGGACUAUUCGCUGAGGACACUUUUAUUAGUGGCCGUAUGAGAACCAGUAGAAGCUUCCAACUACUUAGUCAACUUUGAUUUAGACCUCAGAUCAGGCAGGAUUACCCGCUGAACUUAAGCAUAUCAAUAAGCGGAGGA